RNAcentral lists this ribosomal RNA (2124 nucleotides) under Salmonella enterica. RNAcentral describes it as "partial 23S ribosomal RNA". It matches the Rfam family "Bacterial large subunit ribosomal RNA", at positions 829 to 2925 of the family's 2925-position model. Lineage: Bacteria; Pseudomonadati; Pseudomonadota; Gammaproteobacteria; Enterobacterales; Enterobacteriaceae. The record is from RNAcentral.
CCAAUCAAACCGGGAGAUAGCUGGUUCUCCCCGAAAGCUAUUUAGGUAGCGCCUCGUGAACUCAUCUCCGGGGGUAGAGCACUGUUUCGGCUAGGGGGCCAUCCCGGCUUACCAACCCGAUGCAAACUGCGAAUACCGGAGAAUGUUAUCACGGGAGACACACGGCGGGUGCUAACGUCCGUCGUGAAGAGGGAAACAACCCAGACCGCCAGCUAAGGUCCCAAAGUCAUGGUUAAGUGGGAAACGAUGUGGGAAGGCCCAGACAGCCAGGAUGUUGGCUUAGAAGCAGCCAUCAUUUAAAGAAAGCGUAAUAGCUCACUGGUCGAGUCGGCCUGCGCGGAAGAUGUAACGGGGCUAAACCAUGCACCGAAGCUGCGGCAGCGACACUCAGGUGUUGUUGGGUAGGGGAGCGUUCUGUAAGCCUGCGAAGGUGGCCUGUGAGGGUUGCUGGAGGUAUCAGAAGUGCGAAUGCUGACAUAAGUAACGAUAAAGCGGGUGAAAAGCCCGCUCGCCGGAAGACCAAGGGUUCCUGUCCAACGUUAAUCGGGGCAGGGUGAGUCGACCCCUAAGGCGAGGCCGAAAGGCGUAGUCGAUGGGAAACGGGUUAAUAUUCCCGUACUUGGUGUUACUGCGAAGGGGGGACGGAGAAGGCUAUGUUGGCCGGGCGACGGUUGUCCCGGUUUAAGCGUGUAGGUGUGUGUUCCAGGUAAAUCCGGUUCACUUUAACACUGAGGCGUGAUGACGAGGCACUACGGUGCUGAAGCAACAAAUGCCCUGCUUCCAGGAAAAGCCUCUAAGCAUCAGGUAACAUCAAAUCGUACCCCAAACCGACACAGGUGGUCAGGUAGAGAAUACCAAGGCGCUUGAGAGAACUCGGGUGAAGGAACUAGGCAAAAUGGUGCCGUAACUUCGGGAGAAGGCACGCUGACACGUAGGUGAAGUGAUUUACUCAUGGAGCUGAAGUCAGUCGAAGAUACCAGCUGGCUGCAACUGUUUAUUAAAAACACAGCACUGUGCAAACACGAAAGUGGACGUAUACGGUGUGACGCCUGCCCGGUGCCGGAAGGUUAAUUGAUGGGGUCAGCGCAAGCGAAGCUCCUGAUCGAAGCCCCGGUAAACGGCGGCCGUAACUAUAACGGUCCUAAGGUAGCGAAAUUCCUUGUCGGGUAAGUUCCGACCUGCACGAAUGGCGUAAUGAUGGCCAGGCUGUCUCCACCCGAGACUCAGUGAAAUUGAACUCGCUGUGAAGAUGCAGUGUACCCGCGGCAAGACGGAAAGACCCCGUGAACCUUUACUAUAGCUUGACACUGAACAUUGAGCCUUGAUGUGUAGGAUAGGUGGGAGGCUUUGAAGUGUGGACGCCAGUCUGCAUGGAGCCGGCCUUGAAAUACCACCCUUUAAUGUUUGAUGUUCUAACGUGGACCCGUGAUCCGGGUUGCGGACAGUGUCUGGUGGGUAGUUUGACUGGGGCGGUCUCCUCCUAAAGAGUAACGGAGGAGCACGAAGGUUGGCUAAUCCUGGUCGGACAUCAGGAGGUUAGUGCAAUGGCAUAAGCCAGCUUGACUGCGAGCGUGACGGCGCGAGCAGGUGCGAAAGCAGGUCAUAGUGAUCCGGUGGUUCUGAAUGGAAGGGCCAUCGCUCAACGGAUAAAAGGUACUCCGGGGAUAACAGGCUGAUACCGCCCAAGAGUUCAUAUCGACGGCGGUGUUUGGCACCUCGAUGUCGGCUCAUCACAUCCUGGGGCUGAAGUAGGUCCCAAGGGUAUGGCUGUUCGCCAUUUAAAGUGGUACGCGAGCUGGGUUUAGAACGUCGUGAGACAGUUCGGUCCCUAUCUGCCGUGGGCGCUGGAGAACUGAGGGGGGCUGCUCCUAGUACGAGAGGACCGGAGUGGACGCAUCACUGGUGUUCGGGUUGUCAUGCCAAUGGCACUGCCCGGUAGCUAAAUGCGGAAGAGAUAAGUGCUGAAAGCAUCUAAGCACGAAACUUGCCCCGAGAUGAGUUCUCCCUGAGACUUUAGGUCUCCUGAAGGAACGUUGAAGACGACGACGUUGAUAGGCCGGGUGUGUAAGCGCAGCGAUGCGUUGAGCUAACCGGUACUAAUGAACCGUGAGGCUUAACCUUACA